UUACCGUAGGUGAACCUGCGGAAGGAUCAUUAAAAAUGAAGCCGGGAAACCGGUCCUUCUCACCCUUGAUUAUCUCAAUUUGUUGCUUUGGUGGGCCGCGCAAGCACCGGCUUCGGCUGGAUCGUGCCCGCCAGAGGACCACAACUCUGUAUUAUAUGUCGUCUGAGUACUAUAAAAUAGUUAAAACUUUCAACAACGGAUCUCUUGGUUCUG
Molecule: unclassified non-coding RNA, 213 nt
Filed under: plant metagenome
Description: partial contains small subunit ribosomal RNA, internal transcribed spacer 1, and 5.8S ribosomal RNA
Source: RNAcentral